Molecule: long non-coding RNA, 2657 nt
Organism: Orbicella faveolata
Lineage: Eukaryota; Metazoa; Cnidaria; Anthozoa; Scleractinia; Merulinidae
Source: RefSeq, a predicted model, not a curated record
CGUUAAUAGCAGAGCCAAAUCUAUUUGUUUCGAAAAGCGUCGGCCUGCUAUGCAGCUGCUUCGAACACUAAUUUCUGCAAAUAACUUAAGGUUUCAUUUGCAAGAAGAUUCCAUACACAGAAACCUUCUUAGAAGGAAAGGUCAACAAGAGAAUCAAGUCAAAUAAUGGACUGCGUUUAUGUCCCUAACUGCGAGCGAAAUAAACACAAUGGUAGUAAUAUUUACCGCAUACACCGCGGUGUCAAAUUAAAAUCUCAUAUUUGAAGUGACAGCAAUCCUUAGAGUAAGCCUUUAAGGACCGCCCAAAUUUAAAUCGACCUGAAUGUUUGAAAAUAUUGCGCUGUAAUGUAUUAGGAAAGCCGCAAAACAAGCUGUACGAAGCUUACGAUUACUGAAGACCCACGGAAAGUUAGAAAUGCUUUUCUUCACAUGGCAAACUUGAAUUAAAAAAUCUUGCACUUUGCGCGACAAUUAAUUCAACUAUUUACGAAUUACAGCGUCAAGCCAGAAAAGCACCCUGUUGUGCCGUUCAUUUAUCCUUAAUCGAACAGCGUAUAGAUAUUCUAAAGAAGGUGAAAAAACAAAAGUUGCUUGCUCUCAAUUUAAAUCUGUACAGAUGUCAAGUACUACAGAGUAAUCGAAAACAAUUAACGAAAAAGCGACUUUGACAAAUGUUUGACUGAGGGGCUGUAGUCGUUGUCAGGUACUUCUGGGUUCGAUUUCGGUGCAGCGCAAGCUUCCUCAAAACUGACUGAAAGAACGAUAAAUGCAAAUUUGUACAUGAAAAGGAAACUGUGUUACAUGAACAUCCAAGUGAUCUGCAUUCAAAUACGACAUUGUUGAAACUGAUACAGAUUACAUGCUAGAUUUCAAGCACGGAAAUUAUCAAUGACUGUUAUUAAAUGACUUCCUCAGCCCACGACCACCGACGUAAGCGACGCCAUGUUUGUUUGGGUCAGAUAACGCCACUUAUCAACAGAUACAGAUCCCACAGCUCAUAUACGAUAACAAAGUGUCAUUUGAAGAGUCCACAAAUGAAGGAAAUAGUAAAAGCGAUAUCUCACGAAACGUCAAACAUGCUUCGUUGAUGGACAGACCUGGAGGCCAAGCAAGCUGACCAAACCCAAGUGCACUAAGGAUUUCAUCCUUGGCAAAGUUGGCUCCUUGCGCUUUGUGACAUGAAAAUCAAGACGACCAACCCAUUAUGGGCUUUCAAGGUGGUAGUCGUGUUGCAGAUCAUAGAAACAUUCGGUAUGGCAUUCUACAACCAUAAAUGAGCCUUUAAAAGGUCAAGUAGUGGCAAAUACCAGCGAAGAGGUUCAUUGCCAAGUGAAAUCGAGUCCAAGUUUUCAUUUCAGAGUUCGUGUUUGUGUUUUUGAGUAGACGUCGUUCUGGAGAACGGCAACAACAGAGCUGCAGAAAGAACAAUGUGGUAGGGAACAGUGUAGCUUCAGUCACCUCUAUUUUGUAUUCUUCUUAAUUUCAUUUCAAUUCCAUGCCUUGGACGUGUUGGGCGUUUUAUCUCUUAUUUUGCUGUUAUUAGGACGUGAUAUAGCAAAGCAAAAGAUAUUAAGUUUUGAUUCUUAUCAUAAAUUGGAGACUAUUGGAAUUAUAAGCAUUGCUCAAAUAAAUAAAAAAAAAAAACGACAACAGUGAAUUAGAUGAGGUUUAAGAAUCAAAACGUGCAGUUUUAAGAAUGUAGAAAUAAUAAAGGUAUGACUUUUAAACAUCAAAUUAAGAGACUGUGCUGAUGUGCAAGUUUUCUCAGUAAAUCGCCAGAAAAAAUCUCAAAAUCCAAGGAUGAGACAACUACCAUCGGUUAAGUUGAGGAAAAAACAUUGCAUCAUAUAAUAAGAAAUUUGUAUUGCCGGGUGUAUUGAAGUAAAAUACAUCUCAAGUACAACUGAAAGUUCAUGUCACUGGCAAAAUUGAAAGCCGCCUAUCUCGGCUAACACGAUAUAUGGCACUGUCAAGCUACUUCCGCAGCAACACAGUGAGGGUGAUGCAUUGCCGGCAUUGCACAGUCUGUAAAAGGGUACAACAAACUAUCAACGAGAUCAUUUAAGGGUAACACGAUACAAUUCCUGCAAGCCAACUGCAAGCAAACAAACCCCUGGAUUCCUAGUGGAAAUAGGGGAGCUACGAGCUUCAGUCUUCGCAAAUCCUGAGUGCCACGGCAAAAUAGUCGAGUCAUGAAUAUAGAACACAGACGGAAGCAUUCCCUUUUAAUUGGAUUAAGAUCGAAUUGAGAGGUGUUCAACUGAAGCAUAUUAACUUAACUAAUGAGGAGCUUGAGGAUUACAAAUCUGCUAAAGAGCCUUGUUUAGUUGUGUUAAAGCAAAUGGACCACUGAGUACUGAGAUAAAUGACAAAUUAUAUGGCUAUCAUGAUUCAGGGCUGAAAAUACGACUUAGGUGAAGGCAUUCAUCCAAAUAAUUCUGUCGGCCAUCCGGAGCAUGUUGAUCAAACAUUGAAACUCGGAUAUUCUAUCACCAUGCAGUUACAAGGUGAACUGUCUCAAUAAUUCCAGCAAAAGCCAUCGUACCGUAGCUGAAACUGUUACUUAAGACUGUCUGCUAACAAGAGCCAAGUACUCUACAGAAGUGGAUUACACUAACACACCGUUGAGUUUAACUGAAUACCUUGCCUUUUCACUU